Molecule: transfer RNA, 76 nt
Filed under: Planifilum fulgidum
Lineage: Bacteria; Bacillati; Bacillota; Bacilli; Caryophanales; Thermoactinomycetaceae
Also listed under: 1 other name
Description: tRNA_Thr_GGT
Rfam family: tRNA
About the family: Transfer RNA (tRNA) molecules are approximately 80 nucleotides in length. Their secondary structure includes four short double-helical elements and three loops (D, anti-codon, and T loops).
Source: RNAcentral
GCUCCCACAGCUCAGCAGGUAGAGCACUUCCAUGGUAAGGAAGAGGUCACCAGUUCGCGUCUGGUUGGGAGCUCCG